CCCUUAGAUGUUCGGGGCCGCACGCGCGCUACACUGAAGUAAUCAACGUGUGUCUUCCCUGGCCCGAAAGGGUCGGGUAACCCGUUGAACCUCCUUCGUGCUAGGGAUUGGGGCUUGUAAUUCUUCCCCAUGAACGAGGAAUUCCCAGUAAGCGCGAGUCAUAAGCUCGCGUUGAUUACGUCCCUGCCCUUUGUACACACCGCCCGUCGCUACUACCGAUUGGAUGGUUUAGUGAGAUCCUCGGAUUGGUCCUGGCCUGGCUGGCAACAGCCGAGCCAGCGUGCCGAGAAGACGAUCGAACUUGAUCAUCUAGAGGAAGUAAAAGUCGUAACA
RNAcentral lists this ribosomal RNA (333 nucleotides) under uncultured eukaryote. RNAcentral describes it as "partial 18S ribosomal RNA". It matches the Rfam family "Eukaryotic small subunit ribosomal RNA", at positions 1470 to 1796 of the family's 1831-position model. The record is from RNAcentral.